Molecule: ribosomal RNA, 1478 nt
Filed under: Lacticaseibacillus rhamnosus
Lineage: Bacteria; Bacillati; Bacillota; Bacilli; Lactobacillales; Lactobacillaceae
Description: bacterial SSU rRNA
Rfam family: Bacterial small subunit ribosomal RNA
Source: RNAcentral
CUAUACAUGCAGUCGAACGAGUUCUGAUUAUUGAAAGGUGCUUGCAUCUUGAUUUAAUUUUGAACGAGUGGCGGACGGGUGAGUAACACGUGGGUAACCUGCCCUUAAGUGGGGGAUAACAUUUGGAAACAGAUGCUAAUACCGCAUAAAUCCAAGAACCGCAUGGUUCUUGGCUGAAAGAUGGCGUAAGCUAUCGCUUUUGGAUGGACCCGCGGCGUAUUAGCUAGUUGGUGAGGUAACGGCUCACCAAGGCAAUGAUACGUAGCCGAACUGAGAGGUUGAUCGGCCACAUUGGGACUGAGACACGGCCCAAACUCCUACGGGAGGCAGCAGUAGGGAAUCUUCCACAAUGGACGCAAGUCUGAUGGAGCAACGCCGCGUGAGUGAAGAAGGCUUUCGGGUCGUAAAACUCUGUUGUUGGAGAAGAAUGGUCGGCAGAGUAACUGUUGUCGGCGUGACGGUAUCCAACCAGAAAGCCACGGCUAACUACGUGCCAGCAGCCGCGGUAAUACGUAGGUGGCAAGCGUUAUCCGGAUUUAUUGGGCGUAAAGCGAGCGCAGGCGGUUUUUUAAGUCUGAUGUGAAAGCCCUCGGCUUAACCGAGGAAGUGCAUCGGAAACUGGGAAACUUGAGUGCAGAAGAGGACAGUGGAACUUCCAUGUGUAGCGGUGAAAUGCGUAGAUAUAUGGAAGAACACCAGUGGCGAAGGCGGCUGUCUGGUCUGUAACUGACGCUGAGGCUCGAAAGCAUGGGUAGCGAACAGGAUUAGAUACCCUGGUAGUCCAUGCCGUAAACGAUGAAUGCUAGGUGUUGGAGGGUUUCCGCCCUUCAGUGCCGCAGCUAACGCAUUAAGCAUUCCGCCUGGGGAGUACGACCGCAAGGUUGAAACUCAAAGGAAUUGACGGGGGCCCGCACAAGCGGUGGAGCAUGUGGUUUAAUUCGAAGCAACGCGAAGAACCUUACCAGGUCUUGACAUCUUUUGAUCACCUGAGAGAUCAGGUUUCCCCUUCGGGGGCAAAAUGACAGGUGGUGCAUGGUUGUCGUCAGCUCGUGUCGUGAGAUGUUGGGUUAAGUCCCGCAACGAGCGCAACCCUUAUGACUAGUUGCCAGCAUUUAGUUGGGCACUCUAGUAAGACUGCCGGUGACAAACCGGAGGAAGGUGGGGAUGACGUCAAAUCAUCAUGCCCCUUAUGACCUGGGCUACACACGUGCUACAAUGGAUGGUACAACGAGUUGCGAGACCGCGAGGUCAAGCUAAUCUCUUAAAGCCAUUCUCAGUUCGGACUGUAGGCUGCAACUCGCCUACACGAAGUCGGAAUCGCUAGUAAUCGCGGAUCAGCACGCCGCGGUGAAUACGUUCCCGGGCCUUGUACACACCGCCCGUCACACCAUGAGAGUUUGUAACACCCGAAGCCGGUGGCGUAACCCUUUUAGGGAGCGAGCCGUCUAAGGUGGGACAAAUGAUUAGGGUGAAGUCGU